UGGGGAAUAUUGGGCAAUGGGCGCAAGCCUGACCCAGCGACGCCGCGUGAGGGAAGAAGGCCUUCGGGUUGUAAACCUCUGUUGCAGGGGAAGAAAGACAUGACGGUACCCUGCGAGGAAGCUCCGGCUAACUACGUGCCAGCAGCCGCGGUAAUACGUAGGGAGCGAGCGUUGUCCGGAAUUACUGGGCGUAAAGGGCGCGUAGGCGGUCAUUCAAGUCAUCUGUAAAAUGGAAGGGCUUAACCCUUCAGGGCAGAUGAAACUGGAAGACUGGAGGUGCACAGAAGCAGGCAGAAUUCCUGGUGUAGCGGUGAAAUGCGUAGAUAUCAGGAAGAAUACCAGUGGCGAAGGCGGCCUGCCGGGUGCAAACUGACGCUGAAGCGCGAAAGCCAGGGGAGC
Molecule: ribosomal RNA, 399 nt
Filed under: uncultured Pyramidobacter sp.
Lineage: Bacteria; Thermotogati; Synergistota; Synergistia; Synergistales; Dethiosulfovibrionaceae
Description: bacterial SSU rRNA
Rfam family: Bacterial small subunit ribosomal RNA
Source: RNAcentral